This 161-nucleotide ribosomal RNA is filed under the name uncultured bacterium. Its description in RNAcentral is "partial 16S ribosomal RNA". The record is from RNAcentral.
GCACGUAGUUAGCCGGYGCUUAUUCUUACGGUACCGUCAUUAGCCCUCUUUAUUAGAAAAGGCCGUUUCGUUCCGUACAAAAGCAGUUUACAACCCGAAGGCCUUCAUCCUGCACGCGGCAUGGCUGGAUCAGGCUUGCGCCCAUUGCCCAAAAUUCCCCA